CACCAUAACCACAAGCGUAGUCCAAUGCUACUUGUAAUGCCGUCGGUGAUGCACUUGGGCUCGCAACACACCAGCUAGCUCCAGGUGAAGAUGUUGUGGUUGGUGUUAUCAUGGGCGUCAUGGUUGUCGGAGAUGUAGAAUCUGGGUCUGAAUUCGGGUUUACAAUGGGAGUCGAUGAAGUUGGAUCGGUAGGAAUGAUCGUCGGAACAGUGGUUAUCGGAGUGGUAAUAUCCUUUUGGCUCCUGGAAAUAGAAGUAAGAUGAUGUUUUGUUCCAUGAUCUAGUCUGCUAAAAUGUCCAAAUGCAGUAAUUCUUGAACCUGAAGAGUGAAAGAGAUCAAAUAGGAAGAAUACUAAAUAACAGAUAACUCUGCCACCCAUAUGCAUGAGCCGCCAACCCAACCCUCUUCUUCUUCUUUCCUCCUCCUUCUUUCCUUUAUUCGAUCCAACAAAGCUUCAUUUACAGAAGCAUAUCAAUGAUCUUGCUUGAUCGACAGGAUGAGGGAUCUUAAUUAAUUUACAGAAGCAUCGAUAGAUGAUAUUGUGGAGGAGGAAUAGAUUUUGCAAUCCUUUGCCUUGUUCUGAGGAUGGAUAUAAAGAAUACAUAUAUUUGCAUAUAUAUAAAAGUGGAUAAUUGGCCAAUCUGAAGAGCGUGAGAAAGAGAGAGAGAGAGAGUACUGAGGAAGAUUUGAGAAAGGAGACAUGGGGAGUAGAGGAGGAGGGGGCAAGCAAGAGAAAGAAGAAGAGAAAAGGAGGGAAAAGGUAAGAAGAAGGUUGAAAAAGAAGUAAAAGAGAGAAUUGUUUUGGAAUUUAGGUUUGGUGUAUGGGCUGGUAAGUGGCGUUUGUAAUGAUGAUGAUGAUGUUUGCAUUUUGCCUUUUUUCCUGUUUAAUAUUAUUAUUGUUUCUGCUGC
Molecule: unclassified non-coding RNA, 909 nt
Filed under: Hevea brasiliensis (rubber tree)
Lineage: Eukaryota; Viridiplantae; Streptophyta; Magnoliopsida; Malpighiales; Euphorbiaceae
Source: RNAcentral